UAGGCUACGUAGCCAAGCGGUAAGGCACCGGUUUUUGAUACCGGCAUUCCCUGGUUCGAAUCCAGGUACCCCAGCCA
Molecule: transfer RNA, 77 nt
Filed under: Klebsiella pneumoniae
Lineage: Bacteria; Pseudomonadati; Pseudomonadota; Gammaproteobacteria; Enterobacterales; Enterobacteriaceae
Description: tRNA-Gln
Rfam family: tRNA (bases 10-66)
About the family: Transfer RNA (tRNA) molecules are approximately 80 nucleotides in length. Their secondary structure includes four short double-helical elements and three loops (D, anti-codon, and T loops).
Source: RNAcentral